Molecule: long non-coding RNA, 699 nt
Organism: Prionailurus viverrinus (fishing cat)
Lineage: Eukaryota; Metazoa; Chordata; Mammalia; Carnivora; Felidae
Exons: 3
Source: RefSeq, a predicted model, not a curated record
UCUAACAAGCUCCCCUGUCGAUGCUACUGUAGAAAGUGCUCAGUAGAAAGUGCUGGAAGGAGGACUAUCCUUCCUUUUGCUAAUAUGGAUGGCCUCUUCCAGGAAAACGCUGGCUCAGAACUCUAUAGAAAGCCCCUUUCCACCAGGACAGAAGGGAGCAAAGCUCAGAGAGGGGCGGUCCGAAGCUCGGGGUCACCGUCGGGGAGCACUGGAGCCAGGCUCGGGUCCAAGGCAAUUUGAUGGCAGGAACCACCCGAAGGGGCACGGUCAAGUAUACAGACGGUGAAGUUGGAGGCCCGAGUCGGGAUGGCACUUUCCUCCACUCGAGUCGGAGUUAUCUCUGGCCACAGACACAACUGGUACACACCUGCCAUUGUCCUUUGUCAUUUGGUAGAGGCAGAGGGUACGUGCAACCGGGAGUUACAGGACGCAGAGAACAUUUCUCGAAGGAUACAAAUAAUGAGGCCCCAUGCUGGAGUUCCUGAUGGAAAGUCCCAACAAAUCAGGGAAGGCGUCUGGCAUCCAAUUUCUAUCCAAGCCUUUGAUCCCUGCUGCUGAACCUUCCACAACUCAGGCCUGAGACAGGGGACCCUCCAGGCGGCCUGGAGACCACCAGCCCUCUCCUCAGACAGGUGAGUGGCCGAAGCACCCUUUCCCCUCCGGGAAGCCUCUGCUGCACUCACUUUUCCAUAUUGCCCU